CUGAUUUAAUCUGUAAACUUGUUUUCUUUAAUGUGGGCAUUGUAAAAUGAUACUGAUGCUCAUGUAUUGAUGCUAUCUAUAUUGUGUUUGCCUGUGCUGUAGACUCCUGGUCUUCUCCAGUCAGGUCUGCUGUGUACCUGCUGGGACAGAAUGUGAACGUGCAGAUUUCCACUCGACACCAUUAUCCUGGGAUCAAGCUUUUUAUCAACAGCUGUUAUGUGGCUACCAUUAACACUUUGAGUCAAGCCACCAAAUACAGCAUCAUAGACAAUUACAGGAAAGUUGGAUAAAUCCAGGUGCUUCAAGAUUUAGAUUCUCCAGGGCAGACAAUGUUAUUCAGUUCUCCUUUGGUGUUUUCCAAUUCAUUAAGGCUCCAGAUGCCCAGGUCUCACUCCAUUGUGAGGUCUCUGUGUCCGGUGGAGUCACCCUUGUACCACCUAACACUACCAUUCCAUUCCAUUCUAUACCACUAAAUUCUGUAAAUAUCCAGCAAAUUCAUGGUUUCCAUGAUUCGUCUCUCACCA
Molecule: long non-coding RNA, 524 nt
Organism: Megalobrama amblycephala (Wuchang bream)
Lineage: Eukaryota; Metazoa; Chordata; Actinopteri; Cypriniformes; Xenocyprididae
Exons: 3
Source: RefSeq, a predicted model, not a curated record